CCUGAACCUCAGGUUCCCUGUCUGCUAUAUCACAGGGACUGACAGUGACAGACUCGUGUGGUGACCAUUUGCCUUUGUAUUGCCUGUGUAUGUUGCCAUCUUUACCCCCUCUGUCUCCUUGGGUCUCUUUUUUCCCCAACUAGGUUUCUCCUGAAGUUUGACUGUAUUUCUUCUCCAUCUUUCCAGGAUUCUAUGAUGUACUUUGUCCUCUCUUUUUCAAUGCUUUUAUGAAUGUCUAAUGUUUUCUCUCCCUUUUUCUGUCUGUUCAUAUCUCUAUGAUUGUCUCUCUAUUUGUCUCCUCUCCCCACCCCAUAUCGCUCUCUGCUACUCAUGCUUUCUCCCUAUCCACUCAUCUUUCUGAAUGCCUGCGACUUUCCACCUCUGUAUCUUUACACCUGUUGUCUCUUCCCUCUAUUUCUCUCUCUUUCCCUUUGCCUCUGACCUUAUUUCGAUGAUUGUCUUACUAUUUUCAUGUCCCUGGCCUUAUCCCACUGCACUCAGCACUGGAAGAGGAAUUGAGACACCUAACCCUGCCCCUUACUGCUCAGUCUCCCUGACUGUUGGGUGGGAUGAUGCAGGUGAAGCAGGCUACCUCCAAUCCACCCCUGCCACAUGACCAUUGUGUAGACAGGCUGAGGGUUGGACCCAGGGUUGGAGGUGGUGCUUGGAAAGAGAAGGACCCAGGUUUCCCACUAUCUAUUCCUCAAACGGUGUCUGCUCCCUAUCCUGGUCUCUGUCUCUUUCAUCUCUGUCUCUGAUUCUCUGUUAGUCUCUGGCUCUACAUGUUUGUAUUUGUCACAUGCACACCCUCUCCUUCCUCUGCUGCUAGGUCUUAUUUUCUGCUACCUACUGUUUCUCUUGUUUGGCAUUCUCUCUGUUUCUCCUCUCCCUUCAUGUCUCUUGAUGUCUCUCCUCAUCUCUAUUUCUAUCUCCCUUUUCUCACUGUGCAUCUCUUGCUUCUAUAACUAUUCCCUUGUCUCCUCAACCUCACCUCACUACUCACAACCUCCAUCCAGCCCCACUGCCUCCACCCCUAUACCCUACCUCAUUGGUGGGUCCAGGGCUACCCACCCCUCCUGUGGCAGGGGCCCAGCCCCCCCCCUCCCCUUCAGUUAUCACUCUCCGGACAGAGAUAAAGUUUAUCUGGAGGCUGGGGGAUAGGAAAGCUCCUUAUCAGCUGCCCCACUAGAGUAAGUGCUGCCCCAACCGCGACAGGCAGCAGCCCAGCCGGCACCCUCAACUCUCCCUGGCCCCAGCCCCUUACCCCAGGAGUAAAUGAAAAAAAGAAGAAGAAGAAGAAGAAGAAGAAGAAGAAGAAGAAGAAGAAGAAGAAGUAGUAGUUGGCCCAAGGCCGUGAGUUCUUGCUUCAACUCUCACACUGAUUUGCUGUGUAGUUCCUGGGCAAGCCACCUACUGAGCCUCAGUUGCUUCACCUGGAAAUGGAUACACAUAUAUGUUUUAUUCAACAUCAUUUCUCCAAUGUCUGGAACAGGGCCUAACACACAAUGCCAGCGAUGCUGAGACCAGACUAAGACUGAAGCCGGGAGGCCAGAACUAAAUCCAUGUAUUUCAUAAGGGUAGCAGGGACGCAACCACUUGAGCCAUCAUCAUUGUCUCCCAGAGUGUGCAUUAGCAGGAAGCUGGAACCAGGAGCUGGAGCCAGGUAUGCUAACAAGGAGCAGAAUCAGAACCAGAGCAGCCAGAAUACAAACCAGCACUCUGAUGUGGGAUGCCGGGGCACAAGCCACAGCUUAACCACUGUACCACGGCACAGGCCCCUCAAGACCAGUCCUCUGACAUCUAGUCUGAUGUGGCAUAAUAUUCAUUUUCUGCAUAGUGUUCCAGACUCAGAGCAAAUUCAAGGAUGGGCAGGGGGCCGGUGCUGUGGCCUAGUGGGCUGAGCCUCCAACUGUGGCACUGGCAUCCCAUAUGACUGCCAGUUCAAGUCUCGGCUGCUCCACUUCUGAUCCAGCUCUCUGCUGUGGCCAGGGAAAGCAGUGGAAGAUGGCCCAAGUCCUUGGACCCCUGCACCCACAUGGGAGACCUGGAAGAAGCUCCUCGCUCCUGGCUUUGGAUCGGUCCAGGUCCAGCUGUUGCAGCCACUUGGGAAGUGAACCACUGGAUUGAGGACCUUUCUCUCUGUCUCUCCCUCUCUCUGUGUGUAGCUCUGCUUCUCAAAUAAAUGAAUAAAAUCUUUUAAAAAAAAGAAAAAGGAUGAGCAUGAAUGGCUCUUUUAGGGAACAGGAAGAAAUCAGUGAGGCUUUGAAUCCCAGAGUUAGAGAAGGAUGAAUGAGAGGGGAAGGCAGGGACCAAAUCUUGCAGGGGCUUGGAGGUGAGGCUAAAGAGCCUACUUUAUAAAAAUAUGAUCAAGAUAUAGUAGUGGGGCUGGCGCUGUGACUUAACACAGUAAAGACGCCACCUGCACUCCUGGCACACCAUAUGAGCGCUGGUUCAAGUCCUGGCUGCUCCACUUCCAAUCCAGCUCUCUGCUAAUGGCAAGAGAAAGCGAUGGAAGAUGGCCCAAGUCCUUGGGCCCCUGCAUCUGCGUGGGAGACCGAGAAGAAGCUCCUGGCUCCUGGCUUCGGAUCUGCUCAGCUCCAGACAUUGCAGCCUUUUGGGGAAUGAACCAGCGGAUGAAAGACUUCUCUCUCCCUCUCUGCCUCUGCCUCUCUGUAACUCUGCUUUUCAAAUAAAU
This is a non-coding RNA of Oryctolagus cuniculus (rabbit), 2695 nucleotides long. The record is from RefSeq and is a predicted model, not a curated record. Lineage: Eukaryota; Metazoa; Chordata; Mammalia; Lagomorpha; Leporidae.